GACGAACGCUGGCGGCGUGCUUAACACAUGCAAGUCGAACGGAAAGGCCCUGCUUGCAGGGUACUCGAGUGGCGAACGGGUGAGUAACACGUGGGUGAUCUGCCCUGCACUUCGGGAUAAGCCUGGGAAACUGGGUCUAAUACCGGAUAGGAGCCAUUUUUAGUGUGAUGGUUGGAAAGUUUUUUCGGUGUAGGAUGAGCUCGCGGCCUAUCAGCUUGUUGGUGGGGUAAUGGCCUACCAAGGCGGCGACGGGUAGCCGGCCUGAGAGGGUGGACGGCCACAUUGGGACUGAGAUACGGCCCAGACUCCUACGGGAGGCAGCAGUGGGGAAUAUUGCACAAUGGGCGCAAGCCUGAUGCAGCGACGCCGCGUGGGUGAUGACGGCCUUCGGGUUGUAAACUCCUUUCGCUAGGGACGAAGCUUUUUGUGACGGUACCUAGAUAAGAAGCACCGGCUAACUACGUG
RNAcentral lists this ribosomal RNA (465 nucleotides) under uncultured bacterium. RNAcentral's name for it is "partial 16S ribosomal RNA". It matches the Rfam family "Bacterial small subunit ribosomal RNA", at positions 28 to 507 of the family's 1533-position model. The record is from RNAcentral.